RNAcentral lists this ribosomal RNA (451 nucleotides) under uncultured bacterium. Its description in RNAcentral is "partial 16S ribosomal RNA". It matches the Rfam family "Bacterial small subunit ribosomal RNA", at positions 29 to 523 of the family's 1533-position model. The record is from RNAcentral.
AGCGAACGCUGGCGGCAGGCUUAACACAUGCAGGUCGAGCGGGCAUAGUAAUAUGUCAGCGGCAGACGGGUGAGUAACGCGUGGGAACGUACCUUUUGGUUCGGAACAACACAGGGAAACUUGUGCUAAUACCGGAUAAGCCCUUACGGGGAAAGAUUUAUCGCCGAAAGAUCGGCCCGCGUCUGAUUAGCUAGUUGGUGAGGUAAUGGCUCACCAAGGCGACGAUCAGUAGCUGGUCUGAGAGGAUGAUCAGCCACAUUGGGACUGAGACACGGCCCAAACUCCUACGGGAGGCAGCAGUGGGGAAUAUUGGACAAUGGGCGCAAGCCUGAUCCAGCCAUGCCGCGUGAGUGAUGAAGGCCCUAGGGUUGUAAAGCUCUUUUGUGCGGGAAGAUAAUGACGGUACCGCAAGAAUAAGCCCCGGCUAACUUCGUGCCAGCAGCCGCGGUAA